This 406-nucleotide ribosomal RNA is filed under the name Klebsiella pneumoniae subsp. pneumoniae. Its description in RNAcentral is "partial 23S ribosomal RNA". It matches the Rfam family "Bacterial large subunit ribosomal RNA", at positions 125 to 571 of the family's 2925-position model. The record is from RNAcentral. Lineage: Bacteria; Pseudomonadati; Pseudomonadota; Gammaproteobacteria; Enterobacterales; Enterobacteriaceae.
AACCCAGUGCAAUUCGUUGCACUAUCGUUAACUGAAUACAUAGGUUAACGAGGCGAACCGGGGGAACUGAAACAUCUAAGUACCCCGAGGAAAAGAAAUCAACCGAGAUUCCCCCAGUAGCGGCGAGCGAACGGGGAGCAGCCCAGAGUCUGAAUCAGCUUGUGUGUUAGUGGAACGGUCUGGAAAGUCCGACGGUACAGGGUGAUAGUCCCGUACACCAAAAUGCACAGGCUGUGAACUCGAAGAGUAGGGCGGGACACGUGGUAUCCUGUCUGAAUAUGGGGGGACCAUCCUCCAAGGCUAAAUACUCCUGACUGACCGAUAGUGAACCAGUACCGUGAGGGAAAGGCGAAAAGAACCCCGGCGAGGGGAGUGAAAAAGAACCUGAAACCGUGUACGUACAAGC